Molecule: long non-coding RNA, 1998 nt
Organism: Gallus gallus (chicken)
Lineage: Eukaryota; Metazoa; Chordata; Aves; Galliformes; Phasianidae
Source: Ensembl
AUGGAAACGAGACAGAGGUGACGGUGACUACAGAGAAGCAUUCUGCAUAGAUUCCCAUCCCGACAGUUUACAUUUGCUCAAGAUUAUGAUCUUCAUUGUCUUGAGUUGCCCUCAUAAAACAAAGUUCUCAGUAAAUUAUACUGCCUUCUAGCUGCUGUCUGCGUGAUAUGUGAAGUACAGCUAAUGGACAGGAUUCAAGCACUGUCCAAGUCUUCUUGGAACAGGACAAGAAAUCAUGAGCUACAACUUCAGCAAAGGAACAGCAGUAGGAGUGGAAACUCUAGAGUCAGCCAGUCACUGCACAUGUUAGGUGGACCUUCACUGAUGGGGAAUUUCAGGAAAAAAUCUUGGGUUAGAAGCUGCCAAGUUGGAGCGGAAAGCAAUGAUACCUCAAGGUUUGUAUUAGUUUUAAACCCAAAGACAAACUUUAUAAUGAAAUCAGAAAUCAGCCUGCAAGACAUUCCCUUCUUUUACCAUAGGGUAAAAUAAACUUAACUAUAGUGGUCAUUUGUUUCUUGUAUUUUCACCACCUUUUGUUUAUCUGAAUGCAAUGUGCUUCUGUGUAUGUAUGAAUGUAUGUGGUAGGAUAAGUGGAAGAAAUUAGAGCUUUUCCCUCCUGUUGCCUUUUUGCAGUUCCCCUUCUGAAGUUUUUGAAACUGUUCAAGAAACAGUAGGAUGAACAACUCUUGGUCAUUUUUUGUCUUUUUAUUCUGUGACUCUCAAGUUGAAAAGAAGAAAAAUAACCUGGAUUUACAAAUCAAUCAUGGGGCAAUAAUGAAUUGUAAACCUGUUGAAGAUGCGGAAAAGGUAAACGUGGAAUCAGAAUAUCCCAAGUUGGAAGUGACCCAUAAGGAUCAUCAAGUCCUACUCCUAAGGUAAUGCUAACAUAUAUAUCGGAAGAUAAAAUUGCUACAGGGAGAGCAAAGAUUUCAUAUUUGUGUAAGCUUAUUGGGAAAGUCACAAACCAGCCCACUCACCUUCACUAAAGCGAGAUGGGCACAACAUGAAACACAUGCAGGAAAAGGCUGCAGGUAUUGUCAGAGUUAAGGAGAGCUUCUUUUAAUAGAAAAACUAGAAGAGACUGGCUUGCACCGAAAGCUGAGUAGGAGUCUGCCUGGUCUACAGACUCUUCCUCUAGACAAGCAGCAGGGAAGAGCUAUUUUAGCUGCAGGAUAAAGCUGGCACUAGGACAAAGAGCUAAAAACUCAUUUCAUAUCAUGUUGGCUGGAAAUGCAAACAUUUCUAAGCAUUGAAGCCAAGGAGGUUUUGAAACAGCCUCCCAAAAAAUCCAGCAGGUUUGGAGUUGUCCAUGUGUGAACAAGACUACAGCAAGGUCCUGGAGUUCAAGGUACAGAAGACUCUAUAGUUAUAUAUCAUAUUAUCAUAGAAUGGUUUGGUUUGAAAGAGGCCUUAAAGGUCAUCUACUUCCAGGCCCCAGCCAUGGACCUGGCUGCCACCCACAAGAUCAAGCUGCCCAGAGCCCCAUUCAGCCUGGCCUUCAGCACCUCCAGAGAACAUCCAUGGCUUCUUUGGGCAAUCUAUUCUGUCUGAGAAAGAUAUCCAAGCCAAAUCUCUCUGGAAAAGUACUGAUGGAAUUCUCAAGCAUUUGGGAAUUUACUCUUGGAUCAUUUUUUCUGCCUUUCCUUUCAUUCAUGUUGGGAUUCAUGGCACCAUUCCUUUGCUAGAGCUGGCUUCAUUUCAGUACUGCAUGGGUAAAAUGCCUUUAUGUGGAGGUUAAGAAUCUCUUUUGCUAGUCUUAGUUAAAUAAAAAUAAUACAACAGGGGCUCUUUUGCAGUAAAUAAACAUUUGGAGUCCAGAGUUUUUCUGUUCACAAGCUCACCUGCCUUUUUCAGUAACAUACUGCAAGUGAUUUCACUUUUUUUUUAAUAAGUUGAUUUUUCAUCCUUUUUUUUCUUUUUCUAACACAAUCUAAAGUCCAUUUGUAUAUUUUAAGGAUGCUAUUAGCAAUGACAGCAAUAAAGUUCUUUUACUGGUUU